UGAAGACGACAAGGUGGAUAGGCCGGGAAUGGAAGGGCAGCGAUGUCCGGAGUGGACCGGUACUAAUAGGCCGAGGACUUGAUCAG
Erysipelotrichaceae bacterium is the source of this 86-nucleotide ribosomal RNA. It matches the Rfam family "Bacterial large subunit ribosomal RNA", at positions 2839 to 2925 of the family's 2925-position model. NCBI's taxonomy places the organism in Bacteria, Bacillati, Bacillota, Erysipelotrichia, Erysipelotrichales, Erysipelotrichaceae. The record is from Rfam.